GCUAGAACGAACGCUGGCGGCAUGGAUUAGGCAUGCAAGUUGAACGAACUCCUUCGGGAGUGAGUAGCGGAAGGGUGAGGAACGCGUGAGUAAUCUGCCCCCCAGUUGGGAAUAACGGUUGGAAACGACUGCUAAUACCGAAUGUGGCUUAAGCUUCGCCUGGAGCUUUGGCUAAAGAUUUAUCGCUGGGGGAUGAGCUCGCGUCCCAUUAGGUAGUUGGUGAGGUAACGGCUCACCAAGCCGACGAUGGGUAGCUGGUCUGAGAGGAUGGUCAGCCACACUGGGACUGAGACACUGCCCAGACUCCUACGGGAGGCUGCAGUCGAGAAUCUUGGGCAAUGCGCGAAAGCGUGACCCAAGCAAUGCCGCGUGUAUGAUGAAGGCCCUCGGGUCGUAAAGUACUGUCUCCCGUGACGAAAUUUGACGGUAGCGGGGAAGGAAGCCACGGCUAACUACGUGCCAGCAGCAGC
RNAcentral lists this ribosomal RNA (470 nucleotides) under uncultured bacterium. RNAcentral's name for it is "bacterial SSU rRNA". It matches the Rfam family "Bacterial small subunit ribosomal RNA", at positions 26 to 518 of the family's 1533-position model. The record is from RNAcentral.